CUUGGUCAUUUAGAGGAAGUAAAAGUCGUAACAAGGUUUCCGUAGGUAAACCUGCGGAAGGAUCAUUAGUGAACGCCCUCACGGGCUUAUAACUAUUCCAAACCUCUGUGAACCGUGCCCUUCGGGGCUAUUUUACAAACAUGGUGUAAUGAACGUCAUAUAUCAUAACAAAACAAAACUUUCAACAACGGAUCUCUUGGCUCUCGCAUCGAUGAAGAACGCAGCGAAAUGCGAUAAGUAAUGUGAAUUGCAGAAUUCAGUGAAUCAUCGAAUCUUUGAACGCACCUUGCGCCCUCUGGUAUUCCGGAGGGCAUGCCUGUUUGAGUGUCAUGUAGACUCAAUCCCUCGGGUUUCCGAGGAGAUUGGACUUGGGUGUUGCCGCUCUGCCGGCUCGCCUUAAAAGACUUAGCGGGAUAGCACCGUAGUCGGCGUAAUAAGUUUCGUCGGUGAAGGUUGUGAUGACUGCUUACAAUCGCCCUCGGGCAAUUUUUGACUCUGACCUCAAAUCAGGUAGGACUACCCGCUGAACUUAAGCAUAUCAAUAAGCGGAGGA
RNAcentral lists this ribosomal RNA (553 nucleotides) under uncultured fungus. RNAcentral's name for it is "eukaryotic LSU rRNA". The stretch from base 177 to 330 matches the Rfam family "5.8S ribosomal RNA". The record is from RNAcentral. Lineage: Eukaryota; Fungi.